Molecule: microRNA precursor, 97 nt
Filed under: Loxodonta africana (African savanna elephant)
Lineage: Eukaryota; Metazoa; Chordata; Mammalia; Proboscidea; Elephantidae
Description: mir-544 microRNA precursor family
Rfam family: mir-544 microRNA precursor family
Source: Rfam by way of RNAcentral
GUCACCUGGAGAUCUUGUUAAAAUGCAGAUUCUGGUUCAGGAGGCUGGGGUGAGGCUUGAGAAUCUGCAUUUCUAGCAAGUCCCCAGGUGAUGCUGA